Molecule: ribosomal RNA, 996 nt
Filed under: bacterium enrichment culture clone 1.71
Lineage: Bacteria
Description: bacterial SSU rRNA
Rfam family: Bacterial small subunit ribosomal RNA
Source: RNAcentral
GUUUGAUCCUGGCUCAGGAUGAACGCUGGCGGCGUGCCUAAUACAUGCAAGUCGAACGAGGUGCUUUUGUAGCAAUACGAAAGUAUCCUAGUGGCGAACGGGUGAGUAACGCGUUGGUGACCUGCCCCAAAGUGUGGGAUAACAGUCCGAAAGGAUUGCUAAUACCUCAUGUGGUCAUCGGGUUUAGAAACCGAUGACUAAAGCAGCAAUGCGCUUUGGGAGGGGCCUGCGUCCCAUCAGCUAGUUGGUGAGGUAAUGGCUCACCAAGGCGACGACGGGUAGGGGACCUGAGAGGGUGGCCCCCCACAAUGGAACUGAAACACGGUCCAUACACCUACGGGUGGCAGCAGUAGGGAAUAUUGCUCAAUGGGCGAAAGCCUGAAGCAGCAACGCCGCGUGCGCGAUGAAGGUCUUCGGAUCGUAAAGCGCUUUUAUGAGGGAUGAGAAAGGACAGUACCUCAGGAAUAAGUCUCGGCUAACUACGUGCCAGCAGCCGCGGUAAAACGUAGGAGGCAAGCGUUAUCCGGAUUCACUGGGCGUAAAGCGCGUGCAGGCGGUUCGGUAAGUUGGGCGUGAAAUCUCCUGGCUUAACUGGGAGAGGUCGUCCAAUACUACCGGACUUGAGAGUGAUAGAGGAAGAUGGAAUUCCCGGUGUAGUGGUGAAAUGCGUAGAUAUCGGGAGGAACACCAGUGGCGAAAGCGAUCUUCUGGAUCAUUUCUGACGCUCAGACGCGAAAGCUAGGGUAGUAAACGGGAUUAGAGACCCCGGUAAUCCUAGCCGUAAACGAUGUAAACUUGGCGUUGGUGGCUUAAACACCAUCAGUGCCGCAGCUAACGCGAUAAGUUUACCGCCUGGGGACUACGAUCGCAAGAUUAAAACUCAAAGGAAUUGACGGGGGCCCGCACAAGCAGCGGAGCGUGUGGUUUAAUUCGAUGCUACACGAGAACCUUACCCGGGUUUGACAUGCAAGUGGUAGUGAUCUGAAAGUGACGACC